RNAcentral lists this ribosomal RNA (447 nucleotides) under Staphylococcus aureus. Its description in RNAcentral is "bacterial SSU rRNA". It matches the Rfam family "Bacterial small subunit ribosomal RNA", at positions 166 to 600 of the family's 1533-position model. Lineage: Bacteria; Bacillati; Bacillota; Bacilli; Caryophanales; Staphylococcaceae. The record is from RNAcentral.
AUACCGGAUAAUAUUUUGAACCGCAUGGUUCAAAAGUGAAAGACGGUCUUGCUGUCACUUAUAGAUGGAUCCGCGCUGCAUUAGCUAGUUGGUAAGGUAACGGCUUACCAAGGCAACGAUGCAUAGCCGACCUGAGAGGGUGAUCGGCCACACUGGAACUGAGACACGGUCCAGACUCCUACGGGAGGCAGCAGUAGGGAAUCUUCCGCAAUGGGCGAAAGCCUGACGGAGCAACGCCGCGUGAGUGAUGAAGGUCUUCGGAUCGUAAAACUCUGUUAUUAGGGAAGAACAUAUGUGUAAGUAACUGUGCACAUCUUGACGGUACCUAAUCAGAAAGCCACGGCUAACUACGUGCCAGCAGCCGCGGUAAUACGUAGGUGGCAAGCGUUAUCCGGAAUUAUUGGGCGUAAAGCGCGCGUAGGCGGUUUUUUAAGUCUGAUGUGAAAG